GCUCCUAAAGGAUAACAGCUGAUCCGUUGGUCUUAGGAACCAAAGACUCUUGGUGCAAAUCCAAGUAGUAGCU
RNAcentral lists this transfer RNA (73 nucleotides) under Atropus atropos (cleftbelly trevally). RNAcentral's name for it is "tRNA-Leu". It matches the Rfam family "tRNA". From Rfam's summary of the family: Transfer RNA (tRNA) molecules are approximately 80 nucleotides in length. Lineage: Eukaryota; Metazoa; Chordata; Actinopteri; Carangiformes; Carangidae. The record is from RNAcentral. RNAcentral also lists the same sequence under 3 other names.